RNAcentral lists this ribosomal RNA (214 nucleotides) under uncultured Staphylococcus sp. RNAcentral's name for it is "partial 16S ribosomal RNA". It matches the Rfam family "Bacterial small subunit ribosomal RNA", at positions 148 to 354 of the family's 1533-position model. Lineage: Bacteria; Bacillati; Bacillota; Bacilli; Caryophanales; Staphylococcaceae. The record is from RNAcentral.
CUCGGGAAACCGGAGCUAAUACCGGAUAAGAUAUCGAACCGCAUGGUUCGAUAGUGAAAGAUGGUUUUGCUAUCACUUAUAGAUGGACCCGCGCCGUAUUAGCUAGUUGGUGAGGUAACGGCUCACCAAGGCAACGAUACGUAGCCGACCUGAGAGGGUGAUCGGCCACACUGGAACUGAGACACGGUCCAGACUCCUACGGGAGGCAGCAGGA